AUGCAGUCGUACGCGAAGGGGGCAACCCCCGGUAGCGUGGCAGACGGGUGAGUAACACGUGGGCAAUCUGCCCCGAGGUGGGGAAUAACUUUCCGAAAGGAAGGCUAAUACCGCAUGACACCGCGGAGUUCUCGGACUCUGCGAUCAAAGCUGGCCUCUGUUUACAAGCUAGCGCCACGGGAGGAGCCCGCGCCCCAUUAGCUAGUUGGUGAGGUAACGGCUCACCAAGGCAACGAUGGGUAGCCGGCCUGAGAGGGUGAUCGGCCACACUGGAACUGAGACACGGUCCAGACUCCUACGGGAGGCAGCAGUGAGGAAUAUUGCGCAAUGGGCGAAAGCCUGACGCAGCGACGCCGCGUGGAGGAUGAAGGUCUUCGGAUUGUAAACUCCUGUCGUGCGGGACGAAUGCCUCGGUCGCUAAUAUCGGCCGGGGUUGACGGUACCGCAGGAGGAAGCCCCGGCUAACUCCGUGCCAGCAGCCGCGGUAAUACGGAGGGGGCCAGCGUUGUUCGGAAUCAUUGGGCGUAAAGGGCGCGUAGGCGGCCGAUCAAGUCGAGCGUGAAAUCCCCCGGCUCAACCGGGGACCUGCGUCCGAUACUGCUCGGCUCGAGUCCCGGAGAGGGUAGUGGAAUUCCCAGUGUAGCGGUGAAAUGCGUAGAUACUGGGAGGAACACCGGUGGCGAAAGGCGGCUACCUGGACGGUACUGACGCUGAGGCGCGAGAGCUGGGGGAGCAAACAGGAUUAGAUACCCUGGUAGUCCCAGCUGUAAACGAUGGCACUUGGUGGUUGCGGGUAUCGACCCUGCAGUGCCGAGCUAACG
RNAcentral lists this ribosomal RNA (821 nucleotides) under uncultured bacterium. Its description in RNAcentral is "bacterial SSU rRNA". It matches the Rfam family "Bacterial small subunit ribosomal RNA", at positions 55 to 857 of the family's 1533-position model. The record is from RNAcentral.